GUUUAGGUAGUUUAAUUAAAACGAUGAUGUGUGGUGUCAUAAUUAUAAAAGUUUUUAUUUAUUCUAAAUU
Molecule: transfer RNA, 70 nt
Filed under: Janus compressus
Lineage: Eukaryota; Metazoa; Arthropoda; Insecta; Hymenoptera; Cephidae
Description: tRNA-His
Source: RNAcentral